CACCUCCUCUCUACAUCCAGCCCAGUGACGCCAUCACUGGUUGUUGGUGGAGGUUUGCGGAGGGAGAGCAGAGCAGUGGUAUUACCCAUUCCACCCCCUGCUGCAACAUAGCUCUGUGGUGGAAGAAAUCCCUGCUACAAAC
Molecule: small nucleolar RNA, 142 nt
Filed under: Cynoglossus semilaevis (tongue sole)
Lineage: Eukaryota; Metazoa; Chordata; Actinopteri; Pleuronectiformes; Cynoglossidae
Source: RNAcentral